RNAcentral lists this transfer RNA (67 nucleotides) under Semele scabra. RNAcentral's name for it is "tRNA-Arg". The record is from RNAcentral. Lineage: Eukaryota; Metazoa; Mollusca; Bivalvia; Cardiida; Semelidae.
UAACGAGCAGUAUUAGUGUAUAUAUAGUUUCGGCCUAUAUGGAAAGUUUAGUAAGGCUUCUCGUUAU